CCUACGGGAGACAGCAGUGGGGAAUAUUGCACAAUGGGGGAAACCCUGAUGUAGCGACGCCGCGUGAGUGAAGAAGUAUCUCGGUAUGUAAAGCUCUAUCAGCAGGGUAGAAAAUGACGGUACCUGAAUAAGAAGCCCUGGCUAACUACGUGCCAGCCGCCGCGGUAAUACGGAGGGAGCAGGCGUUAUACGGAUGUACUGGGUUUAAGGGGAGCGUAGACGGCAGCACAAGUCUGGAGUGAAAUGCCCGGGCUUAACCCCGGAACUGCUUUGGAAACUGUGCAGCUAGAGUGCAGGGGAGGUAAGUGGAAUUCCUAGUGUAGCGGGGAAAUGCGUAGAUAUGAGGAGGAACACCAGUGGCGAAGGCGGCUUACUGGACUGUAACUGACGUUGAGGCUCGAAAGCGUGGGGAGCAAACAGGAUUAGAUACCCGGGUAGUC
This 440-nucleotide ribosomal RNA is filed under the name uncultured bacterium. RNAcentral describes it as "partial 16S ribosomal RNA". It matches the Rfam family "Bacterial small subunit ribosomal RNA", at positions 338 to 795 of the family's 1533-position model. The record is from RNAcentral.